UAGCUAGUUGGUGAGGUAAAGGCUUACCAAGGCGACGAUCUGUAGCGGGCCUGAGAGGAUGAUCCGCCACACUGGAACUGAGACACGGUCCAGACUCCUACGGGAGGCAGCAGUGGGGAAUUUUGGACAAUGGGGGCAACCCUGAUCCAGCCAUGCCGCGUGAGUGAAGAAGGCCUUCGGGUUGUAAAGCUCUUUCGGCCGGGAAGAAAUCGCAUGGGCCAAUACCCUGUGUGGAUGACGGUACCGGAAUAAGAAGCACCGGCUAACUACGUGCCAGCAGCCGCGGUAAUACGUAGGGUGCGAGCGUUAAUCGGAAUUACUGGGCGUAAAGCGUGCGCAGGCGGUUUUGUAAGACAGGCGUGAAAUCCCCGGGCUUAACCUGGGAACUGCGUUUGUGACUGCAAGGCUAGAGUACGGCAGAGGGGGGUGGAAUUCCACGUGUAGCAGUGAAAUGCGUAGAGAUGUGGAGGAACACCAAUGGCGAAGGCAGCCCCCUGGGUCGAUACUGACGCUCAUGCACGAAAGCGUGGGUAGCAAACAGGAUUAGAUACCCUGGUAGUCCACGCCCUUAACUAUGUCAACUAGGUGUUGGGUGGGUAAAACCAUUUAGUACCGUAGCUAACGCGUGAAGUUGACCGCCUGGGGAGUACGGCCGCAAGGUUAAAACUCAAAGGAAUUGACGGGGACCCGCACAAGCGGUGGAUGAUGUGGAUUAAUUCGAUGCAACGCGAAAAACCUUACCUACCCUUGACAUGCCAGGAACUUGCCAGAGGUGGCUUGGUGCCCGAAAGGGAGCCUGGACACAGGUGCUGCAUGGCUGUCGUCAGCUCGUGUCGUGAGAUGUUGGGUUAAGUCCCGCAACGAGCGCAACCCUUGUCGUUAAUUGCCAUCAUUUAGUUGGGCACUUUAACGAGACUGCCGGUGACAAACCGGAGGAAGGUGGGGAUGACGUCAAGUCCUCAUGGCCCUUAUGGGUAGGGCUUCACACGUCAUACAAUGGUCGGUACAAAGGGUUGCCAAGCCGCGAGGCGGAGCCAAUCCCAGAAAGCCGAUCGUAGUCCGGAUUGCAGGCUGCAACUCGCCUGCAUGAAGUCGGAAUCGCUAGUAAUCGUGGAUCAGCAUGUCACGGUGAAUACGUUCCCGGGUCUUGUACACACCGCCCGUCACACCAUGGGAGCGGGUUCCGCCAGAAGUAGGUAGCCUAACCGCAAGGGGGGCGCUUACCACGGCGGGGUUCGUGACUGGGGUGAAGUCGGAACAAGGUAGCCGUAGGGGAACCUGCGGCUG
RNAcentral lists this ribosomal RNA (1287 nucleotides) under metagenome. RNAcentral's name for it is "bacterial SSU rRNA". It matches the Rfam family "Bacterial small subunit ribosomal RNA", at positions 242 to 1520 of the family's 1533-position model. The record is from RNAcentral.